This 134-nucleotide small RNA is filed under the name Theobroma cacao (cacao). RNAcentral describes it as "sRNA Tc03v2_g004340". The record is from RNAcentral. Lineage: Eukaryota; Viridiplantae; Streptophyta; Magnoliopsida; Malvales; Malvaceae.
AAAUUGGUGGAUUUCAAGUAAUCAAGCAAUCAAAGGUGGUGAAUCCUCCAAUAAAGGCAAAAAAAUUGUACCCGAGGAUCAACAGUCGGAGUACUUUAAAACUUCGACUCUCGAAAUACCUAUUAGAGGGGCAC